GCGGCCAUGACGCUUUCCCCGCGUUGGAUCAUUGUUUACAUCACACGGAGAGAGAGUCACAUUGUUUUAUAAGAUGGCAUGAAAACGAUUGUAAUGUUUUUGCUACAUUUGUGUAUUUGUAAGAAUGGAAAGCGAAUUGUAAACAUUAUUAUACAGUGCAAUCUCAUUGUAAAUAAUCAUUUGUUCUUUAACUGACUUGCCUAGUUAAAUAAAGGUUAAAUACAAAUUAAAAAAAUACAUCUCUGGUGUCAUCUACCUAUGAUGCACGUAGCAUUUAGCGGCAUCGGUAAAUCAUAUUUUUACAAUCGUAGCAAUUUUAAUGCAUACUUGCGCUUAAAUUUGUGUUUUUUUGUAUGGAAUAAGACGUCUGUUAAGUUGUGAGAAAGUAGCAUGCUACAGUAGUUUAUUUUCGGUUCCAGUGUAUGGCACAGUUUUUUGUAAUAGUAUCAGUCAUGUAUUAGCUAAUAGAUGUAUUUUGUUAGCUAGUUUAAUGGUGUAAAAAUCGUGAUAUUUCCCUUGCAUUUCAAUCUACACAGUCAUAUGGGUCUGCAAUAUUAGGUAGGCUAUUCAAUUCCCUUGACAUUCUGCAAGCAUUAAUACUUUACAAUAAUGGAAGAUAUGCAUCGUCUUAAUCUUACUAUUGUCCAUGUAGAUUUUUUUAUUACAUUUUUUAAAAAUUGAACCUUUAUUUAACUAGACAAGUCAGUUAAGAACACAUUCUUAGAUCUGACAUGCGUUUAAAUUUUACACAACUUUACAUGCAUGCUUUCCAUAAAUGCAAUGUGUGCGUGCUUUGCACAGAUGAAAACCCUUCCAUGAUGACCCUCUUCCUGUAUUAGUCAUAUAGGCCUAUGGAUUAUUUGUCCUAUAGCUAAAUAACUAAAGCUAGUAGCUCACUAAAUCUAGUAGCUGUAGCCAUGCUGCUGCUUGGCUAUAGAUUUGCACUCAUGGUGCUGAGAAUGCUUAGUACUGUAGCUGUCACUUAUGUAUUCUCUGUAUGUAUUAUGUAUGAACCCUUGGACGUACAGGUACCUCCAGCAUGCCCUCCUGCCUCACAUUUGGCCCCUGUCCCUCAUGAUCUACCUCAGGUCCUCUUGUAAUCCACCCCAUUCUUCUGUCUGUGCCUUGGUAGGGCGAAGACCAGCAGAAGAGGGUGAUGUCCUUCCUGCCUCGAUAGCAUGCCUCAGAAAGUGCUGAGCUGGUGAUUCCGGAGAGCUGGCAGGCAACUCUCAACAGGAAGCAGCAGCAGUGGAUUGACCGGACGCUGUUUACCAAUAGCUGCCUACGGAGCUCACAGUUCAUCACUGUCCUUGCCCCUGUGGGCAAAAAACAGAAGAGGGCGAUGUUCUUCUUGCCUCCAAGGCCUGCCUCAGAAAGUUCUGGGAUGAGUUUUUCUAUAAUAAAUGAGAAGCUUAGAAAUGCGCUUGCGGGCAACUCUCAACAAGCAUCAGCAGCGGUGGAUUGGCCGGACGCUGUUUACCAGGAGCAGCAUGGGGAGUUCAUAAUUCAUCACUGACUUGCUUGAGACACCAGACUAACGACGGUCCAGUGUUUGCUUGUCUAACCCAUGCUGACAAGAGACAUUUAAGUGUGACAUUUUGUAACUAAUCAGCAUUUCACUCAAAUGUGUGGCAUGCAUAUGCAAUGCUUAAAAUUGUCUACUACAAAUGGACAGUUAUAUAGACACUCCUGUUAUGUCUAUGGCUUCCUCUAACUUUGAAAUGUUAAUUGUAAACUGAAAAUAACUAUGUUUUAAGUUCUGCUGAGUGGAAGAUUGUAGAACAGUGGCUGGCGGAGAUGAGAGACGCUAAGGGGCGAGGUGCUGAAGGAAACUGAGCCACUCGUAGGGUGGUCGUGAAACAAUCCUUUUGUAUAUACACUGAACAAAAAAUAUAAACACAGCAUGUAAAGUGUUGGUCCCAUGUUUCAUGAGCUGAAAUAAAAAAUCCCAGAAAUGUU
Molecule: long non-coding RNA, 1959 nt
Organism: Oncorhynchus tshawytscha (Chinook salmon)
Lineage: Eukaryota; Metazoa; Chordata; Actinopteri; Salmoniformes; Salmonidae
Exons: 3
Source: RefSeq, a predicted model, not a curated record